GAUGAACGCUAGCGACAGGCCUAACACAUGCAAGUCGAGGGGCAGCACAUGAGUAGCAAUACGAUGGUGGCGACCGGCGCACGGGUGAGUAUCGCGUAUGCAACCUGCCUUCCACAGGGGGAUAGCCUUCCGAAAGGGAGAUUAAUACCGCAUAAAACAGGGGCCCCGCAUGGGGAUAUCUGUUAAAGAUUUAUCGGUGGGAGAUGGGCAUGCGUUCCAUUAGCUAGUUGGCGGGGUAAUGGCCCACCAAGGCAUCGAUGGAUAGGGGAACUGAGAGGUUUAUCCCCCACACUGGAACUGAGACACGGUCCAGACGCCUACGGGAGGCAGCAGUGAGGAAUAUUGGUCAAUGGGCGGGAGCCUGAACCAGCCAAGUCGCGUGAAGGAAGACGGUUCUAUGGAUUGUAAACUUCUUUUGCACUGGGGUAAAACGGGGGACGUGUCCCCCCUUGCAAGUACAGUGCGAAUAAGCAUCGGCUAACUCCGUGCCAGCAGCCGCCGUAA
This 504-nucleotide ribosomal RNA is filed under the name uncultured bacterium. RNAcentral describes it as "partial 16S ribosomal RNA". It matches the Rfam family "Bacterial small subunit ribosomal RNA", at positions 28 to 523 of the family's 1533-position model. The record is from RNAcentral.